Molecule: ribosomal RNA, 491 nt
Filed under: uncultured bacterium
Lineage: Bacteria
Description: partial 16S ribosomal RNA
Rfam family: Bacterial small subunit ribosomal RNA
Source: RNAcentral
AUUGAACGCUGGCGGCAUGCUUUACACAUGCAAGUCGAACGGUAACAGGCCUUCGGGUGCUGACGAGUGGCGCACGGGUGAGUAAUGCAUCGGAACGUACCCAGAGGUGGGGAUAACGCAGCGAAAGCUGUGCUAAUACCGCAUGUGAUCUGAGGAUGAAAGCGGGGGACCGAGCAGCAAUGUUUGGCCUCGCGCCUUUGGAGCGGCCGAUGUCGGAUUAGCUAGUUGGUGGGGUAAAGGCCUACCAAGGCGACGAUCCGUAGCUGGUCUGAGAGGACGACCAGCCACACUGGGACUGAGACACGGCCCAGACUCCUACGGGAGGCAGCAGUGGGGAAUUUUGGACAAUGGGCGCAAGCCUGAUCCAGCAAUGCCGCGUGCGGGAAGAAGGCCUUCGGGUUGUAAACCGCUUUUGGCAGGAACGAAACGGUGUCCGCUAAUACCGGGCGCUAAUGACGGUACCUGCAGAAUAAGCACCGGCUAACUACGUG